This is a regulatory RNA element of Anolis carolinensis (green anole), 64 nucleotides long. It matches the Rfam family "Selenocysteine insertion sequence 1". Rfam says of the family: The incorporation of selenocysteine into a protein sequence is directed by an in-frame UGA codon (usually a stop codon) within the coding region of the mRNA. Selenoprotein mRNAs contain a conserved secondary structure in the 3' UTR that is required for the distinction of UGA stop from UGA selenocysteine. The selenocysteine insertion sequence (SECIS) is around 60 nt in length and adopts a hairpin structure which is sufficiently well-defined and conserved to act as a computational screen for selenoprotein genes. Lineage: Eukaryota; Metazoa; Chordata; Lepidosauria; Squamata; Anolidae. The record is from Rfam.
UUUGCAUUCAUGAAAACAGAAGCCGAAACUAUGACCUAGGGGCUUUUGUUUGAUAUAUUGCAGC